AUUCCAGCUCCAAUAGCGUAUAUUAAAGUUGUUGUGGUUAAAAAGCUCGUAGUUGGAUCUCGGCGGUCUGAGGGCGGUUCGCUUCAGAGCGCUACUGCCCUAUAGACCGUAGUUUUGCCAGAGGUCUCAGGGUGCUCUUAACCGAGUGUCUUGCGAUGCUGGCAGGUUUACUUUGAAAAAAUUAGAGUGCUCAAAGCAGGCUUUUACGCCUGAAUAUUCGUGCAUGGAAUAAUAGAAUAGGAAGUCGUUUCUAUUUUGUUGGUUUCUAGGACGUAGGUAAUGAUUAAUAGGGACAGUUGGGGGCAUUAGUAUUUAAGUGUCAGAGGUGAAAUUCUUGGAUUGCUUAAAGACUAACUUCUGCGAAAGCAUUUGCCAAGGAUGUUUUCAUCG
RNAcentral lists this ribosomal RNA (390 nucleotides) under Pseudocalanus sp. RNAcentral's name for it is "partial small subunit ribosomal RNA". It matches the Rfam family "Eukaryotic small subunit ribosomal RNA", at positions 582 to 975 of the family's 1831-position model. Lineage: Eukaryota; Metazoa; Arthropoda; Copepoda; Calanoida; Clausocalanidae. The record is from RNAcentral.